RNAcentral lists this ribosomal RNA (309 nucleotides) under uncultured bacterium. RNAcentral describes it as "bacterial SSU rRNA". It matches the Rfam family "Bacterial small subunit ribosomal RNA", at positions 28 to 334 of the family's 1533-position model. The record is from RNAcentral.
GACGAACGCUGGCGGCGUGCCUAACACAUGCAAGUCGAACGGACGAGAUUUCUUCGGAGAUCGAGUUAGUGGCGAACGGGUGAGUAACGCGUGAGCAACCUGCCUUUCAGAGGGGGACAACAGUUGGAAACGACUGCUAAUACCGCAUAUGCCUUAACUAUCGCAUGAUAGAAGAGGGAAAGGAGAAAUCCGCUAACAGAUGGGCUUGCGUCUGAUUAGAUAGUUGGUAGGGUAACGGCCUACCAAGUCGACGAUCAGCAGCCGGCCUGAGAGGGUGAACGGCCACAUUGGGACUGAGACACGGCCCAG